AGAUCCAUCUCCAUCCUCUGUGCACACUGUCUCCUCUGUGUCUGCUACAACCUCAGCUCUACCUGAUCAUCUCCAACAUCUGACCCAUCCUCUGUGCACACUGUCUCCUCUGUGUCUGCUACAACCUCAGCUCUACCUGAUCAUCUCCAACAUCUGACCCAUCCUCUGUGCACACUGUCUCCUCUGUGUCUGCUACAAC
Epinephelus fuscoguttatus (brown-marbled grouper) is the source of this 199-nucleotide long non-coding RNA. RefSeq lists it as uncharacterized. NCBI's taxonomy places the organism in Eukaryota, Metazoa, Chordata, Actinopteri, Perciformes, Serranidae. The record is from RefSeq and is a predicted model, not a curated record. The transcript is spliced from 3 exons.